This 74-nucleotide transfer RNA is filed under the name Candidatus Roizmanbacteria bacterium CG03_land_8_20_14_0_80_39_12. RNAcentral's name for it is "tRNA-Trp". It matches the Rfam family "tRNA". From Rfam's summary of the family: Transfer RNA (tRNA) molecules are approximately 80 nucleotides in length. Their secondary structure includes four short double-helical elements and three loops (D, anti-codon, and T loops). Lineage: Bacteria; Candidatus Roizmaniibacteriota. The record is from RNAcentral.
AGGAGCGUCGAUCAACGGUAGGUCUUCAGUCUCCAAAACUGAAUAUGAGAGUUCGAUUCUCUCCGCUCCUGCCA